Molecule: long non-coding RNA, 381 nt
Filed under: Ananas comosus (pineapple)
Lineage: Eukaryota; Viridiplantae; Streptophyta; Magnoliopsida; Poales; Bromeliaceae
Description: long non-coding RNA (ACOM_LNC012540)
Source: RNAcentral
AAUUUAUAAAUAUAUCCCUAUAAAGUUCAAAUUUUCUAAGUUAUUCUAGCAAAAAUUCUAAUGUUUUCAGAUAUGACCCUCUGAUUUGUUACGGUUAGAGAAUCAUUAGAAAACUGCUUAUAUUUUCAGUUUUACUAUCAUAAAUAUGUUCUUCUAAAAAUUAUAACAGUAUAAUAUAAGAGGGGUAAAAAUGUCAAAAAUUAAUCACGGUAAAGUAUUUAACCAAUGGUUAACUAAACUUUUCUAAUCGAUUCUAACGACAGAGACAUAGCUGAAAAUAUUAGGACUUUUGCAGGAAUAAUUUAUAAAUAUUAAACUUUAUAGGAAUAUAUCUACAAUUUAUUAUAUUUACGGGGACCUGUAUGCAAUUAAACCCUUCUU